CACUUUGAGCCAACUCUAGCCCUAAUCUCAUACAAUUAUAAUAACUAAACAUAAUAACCAAAUCAUUUACCCACUAUAAAAGUAUAGGAGAUAGAAAUUAUAUUCCAGGCGCAAUAGAUACAGUACCGUAAGGGAAAGACAAAAAAUCAACAAAGCACAAUAAAGCAAAGACAAACUCUUGUACCUUCUGCAUAAUGAAUUAACUAGAAAUAACUUUAUAUAGAGAACUUCAACAAUGCUCCCCGAAACCAAGCGAGCUACCCAAGGACAGCUAAAAGAGCACACCCAUCUAUGUGGCAAAAUAGUGGGAAAAUCUAUGGGUAGUGGCGACAAACCUACCGAGCCUGGUGAUAGCUGGUUGUCCAAGACAGAAUUUUAGUUCAACCUUAAAUUUACUUACAGAACUAUUUAAUCCUCCCGUAAAUUUAAUCGUUAGUCUAAAGAGGGACAGCUCCUUAGACCCUAGGAAACAACCUUUAUAUAGAGAGUAAAACGCCCCACCACCAUAGUUGGCCUAAAAGCAGCCAUCAAUUAAGAAAGCGUUCAAGCUCAACACUCACCUUUCAUUAAUCUCACUCAACAUACUGAACUCCUAAAGCACAUUGGACUAAUCUAUUACUUAAUAGAAGCAAUAAUGUUAAUAUAAGUAACAUGAAACUAUUCUCCCCGCAUAAGCUUAUCUCAGACCGAAACAACUACCGUUAGUUACCAGCUCAAUCAUUAUAUACCACAACCUAAUCAACCCAUUAAACAAACUGUUAACCCAACACAGGUAUGCAUCCAGGAAAGAUUAAAAAAAGUAAAAGGAACUCGGCAAACUCUAACCCCGCCUGUUUACCAAAAACAUCACCUCUAGCAUUACUAGUAUUAGAGGCACUGCCUGCCCAGUGACACAUGUUUAACGGCCGCGGUACCCUGACCGUGCAAAGGUAGCAUAAUCACUUGUUCUCUAAAUAGGGACUUGCAUGAAUGGCCACACGAGGGUUUAACUGUCUCUUACUUUUAAUCAGUGAAAUUGACCUAUCCGUGAAGAGGCGGAUAUAACUAAAUAAGACGAGAAGACCCUAUGGAGCUUCAAUUUAAUAAUACAAACAAAUAUCUUAAAACCCACAGGCACUAACCCACCGUCAAUGUAUUAUAAAUUUUGGUUGGGGUGACCUCGGAGCACAGCACAACCUCCGAAAAACUUAUACCAAGACCUCACUAGUCUAAGUAAUUUACACUUAUUGACCCAAUAACUUGAUCAACGGACCAAGUUACCCUAGGGAUAACAGCGCAAUCCUAUUUUAGAGUUCAUAUCGACAAUAGGGUUUACGACCUCGAUGUUGGAUCAAGACAUCCUAAUGGUGCAGCCGCUAUUAAGGGUUCGUUUGUUCAACGAUUAAAGUCUUACGUGAUCUGAGUUCAGACCGGAGAAAUCCAGGUCGGUUUCUAUCUAUUAAACAUUUCUCCCAGUACGAAAGGACAAGAGAAAUGGAGCCUACCUCACAAGGCGCUCCCAUAAAUCAAAUGAUUAUAAUCUUAAUUUCACAAAUUAUUACCCCUGCCCAAGAAC
Molecule: ribosomal RNA, 1555 nt
Filed under: Aotus azarai (Azara's night monkey)
Lineage: Eukaryota; Metazoa; Chordata; Mammalia; Primates; Aotidae
Description: 16S ribosomal RNA
Rfam family: Bacterial large subunit ribosomal RNA
Source: RNAcentral